AUUUCUGUGGUGCAGUGGGACAGCGUGUCUUGCUGUUAACCAGAGGGUUGGUGGUUCAAGCCCACCCAAGGAUG
Podarcis lilfordi (Lilford's wall lizard) is the source of this 74-nucleotide non-coding RNA. NCBI's taxonomy places the organism in Eukaryota, Metazoa, Chordata, Lepidosauria, Squamata, Lacertidae. The record is from the annotation of a GenBank genome assembly.